AUUGGAUCCAACAUAAAUUAUGACAGGUGAAUGUUCAUUAAAUGUAGAAUUGAUGACAUUCUAAAAGAAAUUGGAUGUAAAUCAGGUUUUAUUUAAUUGACAAUAUUCCUCUGUUGUAGAAUAUAGGACUAUCCCUGGUACCUGGCCUGCUGAAACUCAGAGAGUCCUGGAGCCUCUAGAUCAGCUAGAAGGACCUUGGAGGAGACAGGAAUUCUUGCUCCCCGACACAGGCAAGUGCAAAAACCCAAGACCAGAGGCAGCGACCUUAAAACUACCCACAAGAUUAGGCAGCUGCUUUCAAAUAGACUCUUCAAGCGCGCCGUAACC
RNAcentral lists this long non-coding RNA (327 nucleotides) under Mustela putorius furo (domestic ferret). RNAcentral describes it as "lncRNA (ENSMPUG00000027869.1)". The record is from RNAcentral. Lineage: Eukaryota; Metazoa; Chordata; Mammalia; Carnivora; Mustelidae.